UACGUAGGGGACAAGCGUUGUCCGGAAUUACUGGGCGUAAAGCGUGCGCAGGCGGUUUUGUAAGCCAGAUGUGAAAUCCCCGGGCUUAACCUGGGAAUGGCAUUUGGGACUGCAAGGCUUGAGUGCGGCAGAGGAGACUGGAAUUCCUGGUGUAGCAGUGAAAUGCGUAGAUAUCAGGAGGAAUACCGAUGGCGAAGGCAGGUCUCUGGGCUGACACUGACGCUCAUGCACGAAAGCGUGGGGAGCAAACAGG
This 253-nucleotide ribosomal RNA is filed under the name uncultured bacterium. Its description in RNAcentral is "partial 16S ribosomal RNA". It matches the Rfam family "Bacterial small subunit ribosomal RNA", at positions 524 to 776 of the family's 1533-position model. The record is from RNAcentral.